AGCGAACGCUGGCGGCAGGCUUAACACAUGCCAGUCGAACGGGCUUCUUCGGAAGUCAGUGGCAGACGGGUGAGUAACACGUGGGAACGUGCCCUUCGGUUCGGAAUAACUCAGGGAAACUUGAGCUAAUACCGGAUACGCCCUUUUGGGGAAAGGUUUACUGCCGAAGGAUCGGCCCGCGUCUGAUUAGCUUGUUGGUGGGGUAACGGCCUACCAAGGCGACGAUCAGUAGCUGGUCUGAGAGGAUGAUCAGCCACACUGGGACUGAGACACGGCCCAGACUACUACGGGAGGCAGCAGUGGGGAAUAUUGGACAAUGGGCGCAAGCCUGAUCCAGCCAUGCCGCGUGAGUGAUGAAGGCCUUAGGGUUGUAAAGCUCUUUUGUCCGGGACGAUAAUGACGGUACCGGAAGAAUAAGCCCCGGCUAACUUCGUG
Molecule: ribosomal RNA, 435 nt
Filed under: uncultured bacterium
Lineage: Bacteria
Description: partial 16S ribosomal RNA
Rfam family: Bacterial small subunit ribosomal RNA
Source: RNAcentral